RNAcentral lists this ribosomal RNA (514 nucleotides) under uncultured bacterium. RNAcentral's name for it is "bacterial SSU rRNA". It matches the Rfam family "Bacterial small subunit ribosomal RNA", at positions 15 to 518 of the family's 1533-position model. The record is from RNAcentral.
GAUCAUGGCUCAGGAUGAACGCUAGCUACAGGCUUAACACAUGCAAGUCGAGGGCAGUAUGAUUCUAGCUUGCUAGAAUGAUGGCGACCGGCGCACGGGUGAGUAACGCGUAUCCAACCUUCCCUAUAGUAGAGGAUAGCCCGGCGAAAGUCGGAUUAAUACUCUAUGUUUUCCAGUGCAGACAUCUAAAAUGGAACAAAGGUUCACCGCUAUAGGAUGGGGGAUGCGUCUGAUUAGAUAGUAGGCGGGGUAACGGCCCACCUAGUCGACGAUCAGUAGGGGUUCUGAGAGGAAGGUCCCCCACAUUGGAACUGAGACACGGUCCAAACUCCUACGGGAGGCAGCAGUGAGGAAUAUUGGUCAAUGGGCGAGAGCCUGAACCAGCCAAGUAGCCGUGCAGGAUGACGGCCCUAUGGGUUGUAAACUGCUUUUAUAUAGGGAUAAAGUGACCCACGUGUGGGUUUUUGUAGGUACUAUAUGAAUAAGGACCGGCUAAUUCCGUGCCAGCAGCCGC